RNAcentral lists this ribosomal RNA (330 nucleotides) under uncultured eukaryote. RNAcentral's name for it is "partial 18S ribosomal RNA". It matches the Rfam family "Eukaryotic small subunit ribosomal RNA", at positions 1470 to 1796 of the family's 1831-position model. The record is from RNAcentral.
CCCCUAGAUGUUCUGGGCCGCACGCGCGCUACACUGAUGCAUUCAACGAGUCUAAAACCUGGUCUGAUAGGGCUGGGUAAUCUUUUGAAUGUGCAUCGUGAUUGGGAUAGAUGAUUGCAAUUCUUCAUCUUCAACGAGGAAUGCCUAGUAAACGCAAGUCAUCAGCUUGCAUUGAUUGCGUCCCUGCCCUUUGUACACACCGCCCGUCGCUCCUACCGAUUGAAUGUUCCGAUGAAUACCAUGGACUGAGAGUAUGAAUGGGUUCGCCUAUUUCUGCUUCUCGGGAAGUGGAGUAAAUCUUAACAUUUAGAGGAAGGAGAAGUCGUAACA